This 446-nucleotide ribosomal RNA is filed under the name uncultured bacterium. Its description in RNAcentral is "partial 16S ribosomal RNA". It matches the Rfam family "Bacterial small subunit ribosomal RNA", at positions 338 to 795 of the family's 1533-position model. The record is from RNAcentral.
CCUACGGGUGGCAGCAGUCGAGAAUCAUUCACAAUGGAGGAAACCCUGAUGGUGCGACGCCGCGUGGGGGAAUGAAGGUCUUCGGAUUGUAAACCCCUGUCAUGUGGGAGCAAAUUAAAAAGAUAGUACCACAAGAGGAAGAGACGGCUAACUCUGUGCCAGCAGCCGCGGUAAUACAGAGGUCUCAAGCGUUGUUCGGAUUCACUGGGCGUAAAGCGUGCGUAGGCUGUUUCGUAAGUCGUGUGUGAAAGGCGGGGGCUCAACCCGCGGACGGCACAUGAUACUGGGAGACUAGAGUAAUGGAGGGGGAACCGGAAUUCUCGGUGUAGCAGUGAAAUGCGUAGAUAUCGAGAGGAACACUCGUGGCGAAGGCGGGUUCCUGGACAUUAACUGACGCUGAGGCACGAAGGCCAGGGGAGCGAAAGGGAUUAGAUACCCUUGUAGUC